Molecule: long non-coding RNA, 1343 nt
Organism: Rhinolophus ferrumequinum (greater horseshoe bat)
Lineage: Eukaryota; Metazoa; Chordata; Mammalia; Chiroptera; Rhinolophidae
Exons: 6
Source: RefSeq, a predicted model, not a curated record
UUUCAUGCUGCUCUUGUGUAAGUUCAAAGGAAGGAAUCCGUUCCUCCUGUUUCUUAUAUAACUCAACACAGCCCGGGUACACUGCAGACUCUUAAUUCUAGAUGCCUUUGUGAAUACUAUUGAAAGGUAAUCCUGAAUUUAAUUUCCAGGCUACACGAAUUGGAUUAUUUGGAUGCUAUGGCAAGAUAAGAUCACUUACUUCCAAACACGAAAAAAAUGAAACUGUGUUUAAAUAGAACUCAUAACUAAGAUGAAGAACAAACUAAAAGAUUCCAGCCCAGGAUGUCUGAAGUACUGAGUAGAAGUCUUCCUGUAUUCCCCAAAUUGGCAACUAAGGUCCCCGGCUGAGAACAAAAGGUCAAAUACCUCACAUUCUAACUUGAGAAAACUCGGCAGUUGAGGCCAGCCCAUUUUCUCAAGCUGACCGGGGCCAUUACAAACAGAUACUCUCCUCACCCACCUAAGAAAACAAUCCCCAGAUCAUUAUAAAAAGAUGACUAGAAAUUAGCAAGCUGUGCCAUUUUGAGGAAGGCGGUGUUUUUAAGGGUGGCUAUUCUCUCCUCCAACUUCCCUGGGGAUGAAAGGAGGUGAUUGUCUGAUUCUCCUCCCUAGUGCUACCAAAUGUGACUGAGCAUCUGGGAGAGAGGCUGUGGUGAGAUGGCCAGGAAAGGAGGCACAAGGACCACCCACAAGUUCAAGAGAUGAAGCAGAUGGCUCCUGCCUGUGGCCACAGAUUUCACGCUGAGGGGAAAGCAGGGGACAACCCACACAUGGCUGCAACUUUUGUGAUACAGGAUUCGGUGAUCAGCCCCGUCUGAGGAAAGCCAAACCCACGCAGAGCUGUGUUGGAUGGAAGGUUGGUUCUGCACACCCUUGCCCGGCAGCGCAGGUUGGGAAACUGAAUGCAGCGGACUGCACGGCCAUGUCUAAGACAGAAAAAAAGCAAGAGAUACUUGAAGCUCUGUGAGGGGAAAGACCACACGGGUCUUGUUCAGCUGCAGCGACCGGCCAUCGUCAGUGCUCACUUAAAAAUAUCUGUGGAAUACAUGGCAGUAUGAAUGGAUGAGUAAAGCACUGGGGACUGUACUAAGCCCUUCUCCUGCAAUGGCCCAUUUCACAACAACCUUCUGGAGUGGCUGCCAUCAUCAUCAUCUCAUAGGUGAGAGAAAUGAAGCUGAAUCAGAGAAGCAAGCCGAAUGCACGAAGGUAAAACUUGAAGAGGAAGCUGAUGAUGAGAGUCCUCUUGAACUCCACCUUCCCACCCGGAGCUGAGCCUGGAAGGGAGACUUCGUGCAGAACCAGCCUGCAAGCUGCAUCCAGCAUCUCUUCAUUCCAGGGCCUGU